RNAcentral lists this ribosomal RNA (380 nucleotides) under uncultured eukaryote. RNAcentral describes it as "partial 18S ribosomal RNA". It matches the Rfam family "Eukaryotic small subunit ribosomal RNA", at positions 592 to 976 of the family's 1831-position model. The record is from RNAcentral.
CAAUAGCGUAUAUUAAAGUUGUUGCAGUUAAAAAGCUCGUAGUUGGAUUUGUGGCGUACGGUGUGUUCCGGGCACUUGUUGUCUGAGUAACCUGCUGUUGCCAUCCUUGGGUGGAACCUGUGUGGCAUUAGGUUGUCGUGCAGGGGAUGCCCAUCAUUUACUGUGAAAAAAUUAGAGUGUUCAAAGCAGGCUUAUGCCGUUGAAUAUAUUAGCAUGGAAUAAUGAGAUAGGACUUUUUUGCUAUUUUGUUGGUUUGCGCAAGAAGGUAAUGAUUAAUAGGGACAGUUGGGGGUAUUCGUAUUCCAUUGUCAGAGGUGAAAUUCUUGGAUUUUUGGAAGACGUACUACUGCGAAAGCAUUUACCAAGGAUGUUUUCAUUAA